AACAAAAACAUGUCCUUUUGAUAUUUUAUAUAAGGUCUAACCUGCCCACUGAUUAAUUGAAUGGCCGCAGUAUUUUGACUGUGCAAAGGUAGCAUAAUCAUUAGUUUUUUAAUUAAAAGCUUGUAUGAAGGGUUGGACGAGGUAAAAUCUGUCUCUAUUUAAUUUAUUUUAGAAUUUAAUUUUUAAGUUAAAAAGCUUAAAUUAUUAUAAAAGACGAGAAGACCCUAUAGAUCUUUAUAUUGUUAUAAAUAAUUUUAGUUAGGAAUAUUUUAUUUUUUAUUUAUAUUAAUAUUUUAUUGGGGUAAUAAAAAGAUUAGAAAAAUUCUUUUUAAAGUUUAAUACUAAUUAGUAAUUGUUUGAUCCAAUAUUUUUGAUUAUAAGAUUAAGUUACCUUAGGGAUAACAGCGUAAUUUUUUUUGAGAGUUCAUAUCGAUAAAAAAGUUUGCGACCUCGAUGUUG
This 459-nucleotide ribosomal RNA is filed under the name Copelatus sp. BI-2011. RNAcentral's name for it is "partial 16S ribosomal RNA". It matches the Rfam family "Bacterial large subunit ribosomal RNA", at positions 1806 to 2534 of the family's 2925-position model. The record is from RNAcentral. Lineage: Eukaryota; Metazoa; Arthropoda; Insecta; Coleoptera; Dytiscidae.